Molecule: ribosomal RNA, 450 nt
Filed under: uncultured bacterium
Lineage: Bacteria
Description: partial 16S ribosomal RNA
Rfam family: Bacterial small subunit ribosomal RNA
Source: RNAcentral
GUAGGGAAUCUUCCACAAUGGACGAAAGUCUGAUGGAGCAACGCCGCGUGAGUGAAGAAGGUCUUCGGAUCGUAAAACUCUGUUGUUAGAGAAGAACGUGCAUGAUAGUAACUGAUCAUGUAAUGACGGUAUCUAACCAGAAAGCCACGGCUAACUACGUGCCAGCAGCCGCGGUAAUACGUAGGUGGCAAGCGUUGUCCGGAUUUAUUGGGCGUAAAGGGAACGCAGGCGGUUUUUUAAGUCUGAUGUGAAAGCCUUCGGCUUAACCGAAGAAUAGCAUUGGAAACUGGAAGAAUUGAGUGCAGAAGAGGAGAGUGGAAUUCCAUGUGUAGCGGUGAAAUGCGUAGAUAUAUGGAGGAACACCAGUGGCGAAGGCGGCUUUCUGGACGGUGUCUGACACUGAGGCGCGAAAGCCAGGGGAGCGAACGGGAUUAGAAACCCUUGUAGUCC